UCCGGGGACAGAUCCUAAAGUUACGCUGAUGCUGAACUUCCCAAAUAGGCACGUGGUGCAGAUGGGCGGCCCUUUGGGGAGGGGGUGUGGGGGGGACCCGAUGCUCCUUUAUCCCACACCGCCCCAUCCCGGUGCUGAGCUGUGUUUGGGAUUUGGGUGCCCGAUUCCCACUCGUCUCCCUGGGAAAGGGGAAACCGGAUCCUGCAGGGCUGCUCAGGAAAACAAAUCCCAGCCCACGCCGUUGGGGAACUGGAAGGCGACAGAACCAGUUCACCCGGGGUGUGUUCAUCACUGGGAGAGCCCUCUUCCUUAAUCCUCGUGGCUCCGGGCCUCGCCAGACUUGUGACCCCAUUGCGUGGAGAUGUGUGGGUCUGGGGGGGGGGGGGGGGGGGACACCUGGUGAUGUGAAGAACCCACUGCCAUCACCCCCCGAGCUGAUGAUGUGCCGACAUUUAUGGCAGUAAUCAGCUCCUGGGAGGGGAAGGGCCGAGCGUUGGGGUGAAGCCAUGGGUGUGCUGGGGGAUGUGCAGCAGUGGGUGGGCUGUGUGUGCUGUGCCUGGGCUGCCACCACGUCCCUGCAUGCCAUGAAUGGGUGGCACCCAUAGGGACACAUCCCCACCUGGC
Molecule: long non-coding RNA, 624 nt
Filed under: Gallus gallus (chicken)
Lineage: Eukaryota; Metazoa; Chordata; Aves; Galliformes; Phasianidae
Source: RNAcentral